Long non-coding RNA from Monopterus albus (swamp eel), 4118 nucleotides. RefSeq lists it as uncharacterized. Lineage: Eukaryota; Metazoa; Chordata; Actinopteri; Synbranchiformes; Synbranchidae. The record is from RefSeq and is a predicted model, not a curated record. The transcript has 15 exons.
UUCUUUUUGGGAGUUGAGAUUUGUUAAUUUUAUGCAAUGUUUAAACCGUAAUGCUGACAAAAUAACAGGCAUGAUACGUGUUACUAGAUUUGUGUGUAUUCUUGAUAGAUGACUACCUUUUAAUAUCAUGUUAAUUACAAUAAGUAAAUAUAUUUGUCAAUCUUGUUUGGCUUUACAAGAGACCCUUCAAGAUUUGGGGAUGUAAUUAAAUUAUUCUAGUAAUACUAAAAUUGCUCAGCCAUUUGUGGUCAUCUUGUGCACAAUUAAGAGGUCAAAUCAAUGCAAAGCAAAUAAUUAAAUGUUGGCAAAAUGCCAACUCAAGGGACCUCAAACGGGGUGCAGUGAGAAAUUCUAAUAUGCUUCUGGAGAAGUGAUUGAGGAAGAGAAGUCAGCAAAGAUGUUAUGCAGUGUUCCCCUGUACAAACUGUGACCUUGUUUUUCAUAGCAAGUUAUCAGUCCACAAAAUUUCCCACAGGAUGUGAGUAAUGGAGAUGGUGCAGUAAUUAGGGAGGUAUGAUAACAAAUCCUCAGAGGACGAUGUUAUGUCAGUAAACUGUUGGUGGCUUGCAUGGAGACGGGCUCCAUUACAGCUGGAGAGCUAAUAAGAAAAUUCAACUAAUUCUCAUGUCAUGGAAAUGAAACUCCAUAGAGAAAUAUAAUUUUAAAAGGUAAAGGUAAAACUCACUUGUAGUCUAAAUGGUGUCAUUUUCAACAGGCAGGCAGGCGUUUAUACCAUGGCUCCAAAUCGGGGAACAUUAUUAUGUCUUCUCAUUGUGGCCUGUGCAACCUCAGGUGAUGAAGUGCCAGAGUAAAGGAUACCAGGUCCCUAAGAUGAUGCUGCUGAACAGUAUCUCCAGUAACAGUACUUUGCCUUUGGAAGACAAAAACACUGACCCAUCAAACACCCUCCUAUCCUGAAUUCCUGGAGUCCUGAAUUCAGUCACACUAGGCACAAACAAAGACUGGCCGAUUCCCCAUGGAUGGUUCAGAUAAAAUGAUAAACAAGAUGUGGAAUUGCAGCCACCUUUCAAACAUGAUCAGGCUGAUGAGGAACUCCUCUGUACACUGACAUCAAGAUCUUAACAAAAACAUAAUCCACCUAUUUAAUGCUGCUCUCCGUCAGUCUAAUCAUACUUACCAUUGGUCUCAUUUCCGCUGGAGGCAUGUGCAUGUUAUAUGGGAGCCAUUUUGGGCCCUCUGUCCUGGACAAUUUUGACCACACCGGGCAAAAAGAACAUGAGCUCAGAUGACUAUGACACACUGCUAAACCUGCACUACAGGGCAUGCCUUGUUCAGAAAUGUGCCUCCCUAUCAUUGUAGAUGAGGAAAAUAUGAAAAAUAAUGAAAUUGCUGCAGGACGUGUAUCAUCCUGUGUCUGAGGCUCAAAGAACCUCCGUGGCAAAAUGGGCCAAACAACAGAUCAUUCAGAACUACUUCAUCUGUACAAUGAAGCCAUCAUCGGACUCAGACUUGAAACUUGGGAAGCGCUGCAAACCUUCCUUGGAAUGGCUGAACUCUGAUGCAGUGGCCACGAUGGGGACUUGCGUACCUCACCCACUUAGCACCAGAGGAUAUUGAUUUGUGUCCCCAAAAAAGGUGAGGGGGUGCUCAGAGAAGGAUAAAGAGACAAUUAAAAUGAAAAUAGCAGAUAAGAAGACAUUAAUUGGUGGCUCUGUUGGUUCGUUUCCUUUUGAUUUGUCCACUAGCUAUGUGAAUUUUUCCACUCAGACCAGUUCAGUUCCACCUUGAGCAAGGCAACCAAGAUCAAGCCCAGCCUGGGCAUGAAGCUUCUUGAAAAAAUUCAAGGGUGCUUAAGUGGAAAGGAGUAUUUAACACAGUAUGUAGACGAGUGUGUGUUCCUGAAUGAAUGUGUGUACAUGAGGGUAUUAAAACUGUGUGCAUUAGAACACUACUGGAAAAGAACCUAGCCUAACUUUCUCAAAAUGAUUUUCACAUGUCCACUGGUGAGGAUAAAAUAUCCCUGUGGUUUCUGUUCACUGUGUACUCUGUAUGUCACACCACUGUUGUUCUGUUGUUGAGUGCUGUUGUGUUUUGGGGUUUUGAAGUUAGGAAAGGUCCUAAACGAUAUGAGAGCUUUGUUACACUCCAUCAUUAUAAAGGAAAGAGAUACAGUACAUUUAUGACAAGUAUUUUGUAUACACAUGAAUGUUUUUGCCAUUACAGCUGGAUUACAUUUCAAGGCUGGAAUAAUUACUACUGUACAUUGUUGCCUCUGAACCUCCUCAGGCUUGGUUCGCUGGCUUGUUAUUACUUUGAUACUCCAGACUUGACUUCUGACCUCAGCAAGGAAUUACUCUCUCAGCUUGACAACUGCAACUGCAGGCGCUUCGUAAGGAUGCAGAUCCCUCGGAGCUGAUGCAGAGGAUGGAUGGCCCUUUGCUUCAAAGCAUUUCCCUAACCGACCUGAAAAAAGCAAACAUCACCUCUUUGGACCAAGUGGAGAAUAAAACCUGGAGUUGGCCACAGAGGAUGUGUUCAGGCUCGGGCCACUCUUGUGUGAGCUCCCUCCUGCCCAGCUGUGCCUCAUGGCCCCUGAUGUCCUCAACGCCAGCCUCAAGGCUGCAGCUUCUUGCCAGCACAUUCCUCAGCGCCACAGGGCAGAAUUGAUUCAGCUAGUCAUCCAGACUUUUGGGGAUCCAUCUGAUUGGACACCAGAGACUAUGGAAGCACUGGGUCCUCUCCUGCUUUUGGAUGAUAAGGUCACAUCUGCUUUGCCCAAUAAGCCAUGGAUGAAGGACGUCCUCUAUUUCCUGAAGUCACAACUGCCAAUAGCCUCGGACGCCCUGAAAAGGAAACCCUUUGAUCUCACCAUUACCACAGCAAAUGCAGCACACAAAAAGAGAGAAAGUGGGGAAGAGACAUUUUCUGACAGUGCCACUAAUAGCAAUGCUAACAGUACCGGCAACACUCGCAGUGGUAGCAAUAAUACUGUAGUACCAACUGUGGACCUGAUUGAACAUUUGGGAAUGUACAACAACCAUUGGGUGGCUGCACUGCUGGAUAUGAUGAGAAAUGAAACCUUGAUUAAUACUGUAGACAUACUUCCCUAACUAUGAUGCGGACCAAGUGGCCAUCCUCAGGAAAAAAGCAGCUGAGGCCCAGUGUCUCAGAUGAACGAGACUGUGGCAGUGCAGCUCGGCUGUAUAACUCAGGGCUUCUCCAACUCAGAACUGGAGAAUCUCCCAUUCUCACUGGAGUCUCUGGAGGAAUUUGCCCAAUGUCCGUGGAAUCGGUCACAGAUAAGGUGUAUAUGGAAGGCUGCUGCUAAAUACUGUAUAACAAUCUGACGGUCAGAUCAGCUGGGGGCUCCAGAGAUGGUCGCACUCAACUGGUUCCUCUGUGGCUUCAACACCAGCAAGUUGUACCAGCUCAACAAGGAAGCUCUCAAGUUUGUGCAGUUCACAGAACUUCACAACCUACUUUAUAUCCAAUUAAAUUGUCAUACAAAUUGAUGGAAUGAGGGUGUAGCCACACUGAAGCAACCGGUGAUUUUAGAUCAUUAGAGGGGAAAGAAAUGCAUUAUGUCAAAUAUUUAGUCUAGUUAUAUUAUACACCCACCACUGCAGGUAAUGUGAAAAAUAAACAUGAAAUUCUAUUGUCACAUUUAGCUAAAAGUGUUAAGAACUUGUUGUUGUAAAAACUUGUUUUCAUCCCUUCAGUCAUUCUCUAAUGCUCAGCUGGGGAAUAUUGGUCCUGACAAUGCAGCCAUGGUAACUGCUGAACAACAAAAUGCCCUGACAGAGUGACAGAUCAGCAAAAAGGCAUUCUUCAAAGGGCUGCGACUGGUGUUGCUGUCCAAACACAAACAGCCAGUCAGUCUCAUCCAGGAGCUCCAUCCCUGAGUGUCAAGGGGAACUUAUCCUUCAUGUUGCCUCUGCUGCUUCUCCUCAUGGAGCUCCUGCUGCUGCGAGACACCACAUCUAAAUGGAAACCCUGCAGAAGCUUGAGCUCACCACACACAAAAACUUCAUCUUCUAAGAAGUUAGAAUUAUAAAGUACUACCAUUUAAUUCUUCAUGUUUAUCUUACUUGUGAUGAAGACAGGUUUCAGAGCUCAUUCUAGUGAGUGUAGUGUGCACAACAUAGUGUAAUCCAAUA